AUACCUAAUGGCAGGGGAGAUACUAUGAUCAACAGUUGGUUUUCCCCGUGCAAUGCUUAUCCAUUGCCCUCCAGAUGUGAUCCCCUUGUAAUUUCCCCAAAUGUGGGAAACAUGACAGCAUAAUUUGUGGUGGGGGGGACUGUGAUCACAUUCUCCCC
Molecule: small nuclear RNA, 158 nt
Filed under: Mus pahari (shrew mouse)
Lineage: Eukaryota; Metazoa; Chordata; Mammalia; Rodentia; Muridae
Description: snRNA (MGP_PahariEiJ_G0033822.1)
Rfam family: U1 spliceosomal RNA
About the family: U1 is a small nuclear RNA (snRNA) component of the spliceosome (involved in pre-mRNA splicing). Its 5' end forms complementary base pairs with the 5' splice junction, thus defining the 5' donor site of an intron. There are significant differences in sequence and secondary structure between metazoan and yeast U1 snRNAs, the latter being much longer (568 nucleotides as compared to 164 nucleotides in human).
Source: RNAcentral